This 312-nucleotide unclassified non-coding RNA is filed under the name uncultured Clavaria. RNAcentral's name for it is "sequence contains ITS2". Lineage: Eukaryota; Fungi; Basidiomycota; Agaricomycetes; Agaricales; Clavariaceae. The record is from RNAcentral.
AACGCAUAUUGCACCCUCAGGUCUUUUCCAGAGGGUAUGCCUGUUUGAGUGUCAUUAAAUACAUCAAUGUAGACUUGUCUUUUGACUUGCUCUACACUUGGAAGUUGAAGGCUUGCUGGUUGUCAUGAUCAGCUCCUUUUAAAUUCAUUAGCGGGACUUUUGAAGACUUGGCUUCAGUUUGAUACAAUGUCUAUGCUGUCGCUAAGGAACGGUUUAGUCUGGCUUAUAAUUGUCCUUUGGGACUGUCUCUAGUGGACAUAACAAACUUUGACUCUUGACCUCAAAUCAGGUAGGACUACCCGCUGAACUUAA